UCCUAGCCCAGAUAGCAGUGAAAAUCCUUUUAUUUUUUUGCUGCCAAAAAAAUAAAAGAUUGUAACGAAUAGCUGGAAAAAGC
Molecule: small RNA, 83 nt
Filed under: Flavobacterium xanthum
Lineage: Bacteria; Pseudomonadati; Bacteroidota; Flavobacteriia; Flavobacteriales; Flavobacteriaceae
Description: Flavo-1 RNA
Rfam family: Flavo-1 RNA
Source: RNAcentral